Molecule: long non-coding RNA, 1626 nt
Organism: Zea mays
Lineage: Eukaryota; Viridiplantae; Streptophyta; Magnoliopsida; Poales; Poaceae
Exons: 2
Source: RefSeq, a predicted model, not a curated record
GCCACUGUGUCCUGGCUUCCACGACAAGCACCACGCGACUACAAAUACCUCCCAGGGGCUGAGCCUUCCUCACAUCCUCUCUUCAUACUAUCUACCACAACUAGUUGCCAGAGUUCGUCAUGGACUUCUACAAAGAGUUCGUGGAGACUUCGUCCGAUGACGAUUCCGAAGACUGAGGUCGACACUCGACACCAUGUACGUUUAGCAAGCCCUUGAGCAACUAGGUGUUGGAGGUUCGAGCGGGCGUCGUAGACGCUCUUCCUUGCCACGUCUAGUAAUCCAUAGGGAUCACAGUGCUAGCGAAAAUCUGAUAAAGCUCCACUACUUCGGUCCAAAUCCUGUCUAUCCCGCCCACAUUUUCCAACGAAGGUUUCGGAUGCAGCGGCCUUUGUUCCUGCGUAUCCUUAGAGGUGUGCAGCAAGUGGACGGAUUUUUUUACUGUUAGGUGUGAUGCUACGGGUUUAGCGGGACUCGGUCCGUUGCAAAAAGUCUCUGCUGCUUUGCGUGUCCUCGCAUAUGGGUUGCCUACGGAUGCUGUCGAUGAGUACAUUCAAAUCGGACAAACUACCGCUAGGGACUGUCUCAUCCGUUUCUGCCAUGCAAUCAUCUCAUGCUACAACCAACGUUACCUCCGUAUUCCUAACAGAAACGAUGUUGCUCGCAUACUUCGUGUCAACGCUGAUAGGGGUUUCCCGGGCAUGCUUGGCUCAAUUGACUGUAUGCAUUGGGAAUGGCGUAACUGUCCAACUGUAUGGCGGGGUCAAUUUUGUGGCCGGAACUCACGUCCAACCAUGAUAUUAGAAGCUGUGGCGUCGUACGACCUCUGGAUUUGGCAUGCCUUUUUUGGAAUGCCAGGAAGUAACAACGACCUCAACGUGCUCCAUAGGUCUCCCAUUUUCGAUCCUUUACACAACGACGCCAUGCCCCCCCGUGCACUACACCAUCAAUGGUACACAAUUCAAUUUCGAAUAUUAUUUAGCAGAUGGCAUAUAUCUGAAUUGGCCCACAUUUGUGAAAGCUAUUCGUCACCCAUUCGAAGAAAAGAAGAUUCACUUUACCAUGAUGCAGGAGAGUGCUCGUAAAGAUAUCGAGAGAACUUUUGGUGUGUUGCAGUCGCGUCGGGCAGUACUCCGCGGGCCAGCUUAUGGUUGGGUUCGCAAUCACCUCACGGAGAUGAUGAUUGCAUGCAUUAUCAUGCAUAACAUGAUUGUCGAGGACGAAGGCGAAGGAGCAGAAAAUGUUGAUUUUGUUGGUGCCACCCCACCUCCUGAUCUUUCGACUGCAAUUCCGUAAGUCCGGAACGAGUGGUUGAACACGACUGCCUGGUCCGAAAUGCCAAAUGAAGGAGAUAUUGAUAUCACCUGCAAGAACACGUACCUAUCUUUGCAGUACAACCUUGUCGAACAUCUUUGGGCAAGGCGUGGUUCCAUGGGUUGAAGUAUGGCUACUUAAUUAAGUUGUCGAGUAUCAGUGUAAUGUGUUGGUGUCUACUUUAGUGUACUUUAGUCGAUGUAAGCCUCCAGUUGUGGUCAAGAUAACUGCUGUUAUGUGAGCGUCUUGGAUGUAACUAUGUAUGGUUUCAUCCAUACUUCAAUAAAAUUUAGAUAAUGUGUGCUUUGUUCAUUA